AUUGAACGCUGGUGGCAUGCCUUACACAUGCAAGUCGAACGGCAGCACGGGUGCUUGCACCUGGUGGCGAGUGGCGAACGGGUGAGUAAUACAUCGGAACAUGUCCUGUAGUGGGGGAUAGCCCGGCGAAAGCCGGAUUAAUACCGCAUACGAUCCACGGAUGAAAGCGGGGGACCUUCGGGCCUCGCGCUAUAGGGUUGGCCGAUGGCUGAUUAGCUAGUUGGUGGGGUAAAGGCCUACCAAGGCGACGAUCAGUAGCUGGUCUGAGAGGACGACCAGCCACACUGGGACUGAGACACGGCCCAGACUCCUACGGGAGGCAGCAGUGGGGAAUUUUGGACAAUGGGCGAAAGCCUGAUCCAGCAAUGCCGCGUGUGUGAAGAAGGACUUCGGGUUGUAAAGCACUUUUGUCCGGAAAGAAAUCCUUGACUCUAAUACAGUCGGGGGAUGACGGUACCGGAAGAAUAAGCACCGGCUAACUACGUG
This 486-nucleotide ribosomal RNA is filed under the name uncultured bacterium. Its description in RNAcentral is "partial 16S ribosomal RNA". It matches the Rfam family "Bacterial small subunit ribosomal RNA", at positions 30 to 507 of the family's 1533-position model. The record is from RNAcentral.